CAGGCUGUACUACAUGUUUUUGUACAUUGUUUACAGUUCCUAUGCUGAACACAUACUGUGUUGAAUUCUGUACAGAGUGGAAAGGCAAAGACAUCAUGGAGGACGAGGACACUUGUUCACAGAUGUACAAGAGACUGCAAUUAUAAAUAUGGUUUUGGCCAACAAUGCAAUUAGUCAUCCUCUAUGAUAACAGUAUUGGAGUAUUGGAACUGGAUGCCCGUGUAAUUCACCAUUAAUUUAUUUAUGUGGAUGAGGUUGGCUUCAACCUCACCAAAACCAGGCGCCGCGGAAGAAAUGUAAUAGGACAGAGGGCAAUGACCAAUGUCCCUGGACAGCGUGGGGGUAAUAUAACUAUGUGUGCUGCCAUCACUCAAAACGGGGUCCUCCGUCACAACGCCACACUGGGUCCGUACAACACCGGCCAUAUGCUCACUUUUCUGGAUGCUGAUAGAUUUGUGGGACUUUAUGGGACAAUGUUAGUUUUCACCGGGCUGUUCUGGUCCAAAACCGGUUUGCCACCCCUCCACAAUGUGUAGUUUUGUACCUACCCCCAUAUUCACCUUUUCUAAAGCCCAUAGAGGAAUUCUUCUCAGCCCGGCGCUGGAAAGUGUAUGAUCGCCAACCCUAUGCCCGCAUGCCGCUUCUCCAGGCAAUGGAGGACGAAUGUGGGGACAUAGAGGUUGCCUCUGUCCAAGGUUGGAUACGCCAUGCUAGGAGAUACUUCCCUCCAUGUGGGGACAUAGAGGUUGCCUCUGUCCAAGGUUGGACACGCCAUGCUAGGAGAUACUUCCCUCCAUGUGGGGACAUAGAGGUUGCCUCUGUCCAAGGUUGGAUACGCCAUGCUAGGAGAUACUUCCCUCCAUGUGGGGACAUAGAGGUUGCCUCUGUCCAAGGUUGGAUACGCCAUGCUAGGAGAUACUUCCCUCCAUGUGGGGACAUAGAGGUUGCCUCUGUCCAAGGUUGGAUACGCCAUGCUAGGAGAUACUUCCCUCCAUGUGGGGACAUAGAGGUUGCCUCUGUCCAAGGUUGGAUACGCCAUGCUAGGAGAUACUUCCCUCCAUGUGGGGACAUAGAGGUUGCCUCUGUCCAAGGUUGGACACGCCAUGCUAGGAGAUACUUCCCUCGAUGUUUGGCAAGAGAAAACAUAUCUUGUGAUGUGGACAAAGUAUUGUGGCCAGACCCAGGCCGGAGAAGAGAUGAAGCGUAGCUUAGCACUGGUGACUGCC
Oncorhynchus tshawytscha (Chinook salmon) is the source of this 1226-nucleotide long non-coding RNA. NCBI's taxonomy places the organism in Eukaryota, Metazoa, Chordata, Actinopteri, Salmoniformes, Salmonidae. The record is from Ensembl.